AAUAGCCAAAAGUAAAAGAUUCUAUUCUAAGCAACCAUACAAGUAAUAUGAUCAACUUUUAAUCACAUACAAGCAUUCAACCACAACUCACAUUUACAUUCUUUUCAUUCAUCUCUUAUACAUCACAUUUCAUCCAAAACAUAAGCUCUUUUUACAUUCAUGCAUCAUUUGUACUACUAGCAUCAUCAAAUACAAAAGAUGAUAAACGGGUAUGAAGCUAUACUCCAGUAGUCACUAGUUAGGGUGCAAUACCCUUGCCACGGUCCUCGACCGCCUCGCUCGGACCUGGAUCUGUGAAAAAUAGUGGGGUGAGA
RNAcentral lists this long non-coding RNA (314 nucleotides) under Ananas comosus (pineapple). Its description in RNAcentral is "long non-coding RNA (ACOM_LNC016705)". The record is from RNAcentral. Lineage: Eukaryota; Viridiplantae; Streptophyta; Magnoliopsida; Poales; Bromeliaceae.